This is a small nucleolar RNA of Andrographis paniculata, 76 nucleotides long. The record is from RefSeq and is a predicted model, not a curated record. Lineage: Eukaryota; Viridiplantae; Streptophyta; Magnoliopsida; Lamiales; Acanthaceae.
UCGUUGCCUGUGAUGGUAUUAAAUAUACUUUGAGUGAUUGAUUCACAAGGAAAAGCAUAUUAAUCUGAGGCUUCUG